Chrysemys picta bellii (western painted turtle) is the source of this 152-nucleotide unclassified non-coding RNA. The record is from Ensembl. Lineage: Eukaryota; Metazoa; Chordata; Testudines; Emydidae.
UUGAUGACCCUGGAGACUGUAGCCCUAUAUCCACAAGACAGGGACAGCAUGAGCUGCAGCAGGGCAAGCUUCGCUCUCACCAACCCAUGUGCCUCAUCCUUGCCUUGGAUAGGGGAGUUCAGUCUCCUUGGCUCAUUCAAUCCUUGCCAUCU